UACGUAGGGUGCGAGCGUUGUCCGGAUUUACUGGGCGUAAAGGGUGCGUAGGCGGCGCGGUAAGUCGGGUGUGAAAUCUCGGAGCUUAACUCCGAAACUGCAUUCGAUACUGCCGUGCUUGAGGACUGGAGAGGAGACUGGAAUUUACGGUGUAGCGGUGAAAUGCGUAGAUAUCGUAAGGAAGACCAGUGGCGAAGGCGGGUCUCUGGACAGUUCCUGACGCUGAGGCACGAAGGUCAGGGGAGCAAACGGG
This 253-nucleotide ribosomal RNA is filed under the name uncultured bacterium. RNAcentral's name for it is "partial 16S ribosomal RNA". It matches the Rfam family "Bacterial small subunit ribosomal RNA", at positions 524 to 776 of the family's 1533-position model. The record is from RNAcentral.